This is a non-coding RNA of Erinaceus europaeus (western European hedgehog), 122 nucleotides long. NCBI's taxonomy places the organism in Eukaryota, Metazoa, Chordata, Mammalia, Eulipotyphla, Erinaceidae. The record is from Rfam.
UCUAAAGCCAUUACCACCCUGAACAUGCCCAAUUUCGUUUGAUCUUGGAAGUUAAGCAGUGUUGGGCCUCGUUAGUGCUGGAUGGGAGAACUCUACUGCCUUGGAUUCUAUGGUCUUUGAGC